GCGGCGGCGGCUUCAGCUUCGGCAAUGGCAACAACGGCUGCUGGUCGGGCUCCGCAACUAUGUCUCCUAUGCUACCUCCCUCCUCCAGGAAAGGAGAAUUAAAGAGAUUGUGUUGAAGGCCAUGGGACAGGCAAUCAGUAAAUCUGUUGCUGUUGCAGAGAUUAUCAAGAAAAGGAUCGGUUACACCAGGAUACCAACAUCAGUUCUGUCAGCAUCACUGAUGUCUGGGAACCCAUAGAAGAAGGCCUUGUCCCAUUGGAGAUGACUCGGCAUGUUUCGAUGAUAUCAAUUACUUUGUCCCCCAGAGAGCUGGACAAGCAAACUCCUGGGUGAGUCAGAUGGAGGUCAGAUCCGAUUUCCUAGGCUGGUAUCGAUUGUUGCUGAUUACCAUUCAUCAGGUUUUAUGGCUUCAAUGGCAAAGCCAUUACAUAUGUAUUUCUUAUCUCUUUAUUACUCUCCUAUCUUAAUAUGUAUUUGUGGCUAACAGGUACUGUUCUUAUAAUGUGUUCCACAUUAUUUUUUCAAUCUGCAUGGGAGAUAACAGAACUAUGGUACAAGCUGCACUAAUUGAUUUGUGGCUAACACUCCUAUCUUAAUAUGUAUUUGUGGCUAACACUGCACUAAUUGAUCCUGACCUUGCAUCUGUCAUAUGGCGAUCGCUGAUGUUACUAUAGACUCCAGGAGGUUGUAUUUCCAAAAUAGGAGAGGAUGCAGUUGUCCUUAAGUUCUGUAAAUAUGCAUACUCACCUUUAGGUGCUUCUGAGCACGUAUCUGCAAUUCUUCAAUUACUUGUGGCAUACCUCUUGUCCAUUUUAGCUAGCAAAUUACUAUAUAAAUUUGGAUGAAUUUGUAGGUUAUUGGCUGAGUAUAUGAGUAGCAUUAAUUUCUUAAAUUUACAGAACUAUUAUGCUUGAGACCUAUUGGCUUUCUAUGCCCUGUCAAAGGUCUUGUUUGCUACUGAUUUAGCCUCAUAGCUGUGACUUAACAAGCUCCAACACAGUUUGUAUUUUAUAUUUAAUUUGGGAUGUUAUCAAAGAAAUAUAUUUGAUUUCUCUAGUCUCAGUUUGUUCCAUGCAGCUGAGAAUCAGAUAGCAUUACAACGUUUGUUUAUAUCUUGCAAUUACAAUUUUUGAGAAUGCGUAUGUCAUGGAGAGCUGCUAUAUAUUUAUCCUGUUCUUUUAAAAAUGGCAGAAGAGGAAAUUUUGAUGCCAUAGAUUGUCUCUUUCUGUUUUUGAUUGUCUUGGAACAAUAUGACUGAAGAGAGUAGCUUAAGAAAAGUGGCCUGGUGAUAAGGUCCAAUAGGCAAUGUGAAGGACAAGAUCAGCAAGAGAGUCGCAACACUCCAAUAAGCAGGGUCAUUGUCAUGUUAUUGUCACAAACUUGUCACGUUAAGUGACUAGUUUGAUGUUAAGUGAUAUUACAUAUAUAAUAUACUUGUUCGAUACAUGAAUCAAUGUAUGGAUAAUGUGAUCACUUUUGAAUGUCA
Molecule: long non-coding RNA, 1486 nt
Organism: Sorghum bicolor (sorghum)
Lineage: Eukaryota; Viridiplantae; Streptophyta; Magnoliopsida; Poales; Poaceae
Exons: 6
Source: RefSeq, a predicted model, not a curated record